UGCGAACUCCUACGGGAGGCAGCAGUGGGGAAUUUUGGACAAUGGGCGCAAGCCUGAUCCAGCCAUGCCGCGUGUCUGAAGAAGGCCUUCGGGUUGUAAAGGACUUUUGUCAGGGAAGAAAAGGCUGUUGCUAAUAUCGACAGCUGAUGACGGUACCUGAAGAAUAAGCACCGGCUAACUACGUGCCAGCAGCCGCGGUAAUACGUAGGGUGCGAGCGUUAAUCGGAAUUACUGGGCGUAAAGCGAGCGCAGACGGUUACUUAAGCAGGAUGUGAAAUCCCCGGGCUCAACCUGGGAAUUGCGUUCUGAACUGGGUGGCUAGAGUGUGUCAGAGGGGGGUAGAAUUCCACGUGUAGCAGUGAAAUGCGUAGAGAUGUGGAGGAAUACCGAUGGCGAAGGCAGCCCCCUGGGAUGGCACUGACGUUCAUGCCCGAAAGCGUGGGUAGCAAACAGGAUUAGAAACCCCGGUAGUCCAGAAGUG
Molecule: ribosomal RNA, 481 nt
Filed under: uncultured bacterium
Lineage: Bacteria
Description: bacterial SSU rRNA
Rfam family: Bacterial small subunit ribosomal RNA
Source: RNAcentral